GACGAACGCUGGCGGCGUGCCUAAUACAUGCAAGUUGAGCGAUGAAGAUUGGUGCUUGCACCAAUUUGAAGAGCAGCGAACGGGUGAGUAACGCGUGGGGAAUCUGCCUUUGAGCGGGGGACAACAUUUGGAAACGAAUGCUAAUACCGCAUAACAACUUUAAACAUAAGUUUUAAGUUUGAAAGAUGCAAUUGCAUCACUCAAAGAUGAUCCCGCGUUGUAUUAGCUAGUUGGUGAGGUAAAGGCUCACCAAGGCGAUGAUACAUAGCCGACCUGAGAGGGUGAUCGGCCACAUUGGGACUGAGACACGGCCCAAACUCCUACGGGAGGCAGCAGUAGGGAAUCUUCGGCAAUGGACGAAAGUCUGGCCGAGCAACGCCGCGUGAGUGAAGAAGGGUUUCGGAUCGUAAAACUCUGUUGGUAGAGAAGAACGUUGGUGAGAGUGGAAAGCUCAUCAAGUGACGUUAACUACCCAGAAAGGGACGGCUAACUACGUG
Molecule: ribosomal RNA, 497 nt
Filed under: uncultured bacterium
Lineage: Bacteria
Description: partial 16S ribosomal RNA
Rfam family: Bacterial small subunit ribosomal RNA
Source: RNAcentral